AGGGUCACGUGGGCGCCGCCGCGCUCUGAACCGGGGUUAGUCACGGGCGCGGGAUUUGGCCGCCGCGGGGCUCCGGGCGCCGCUCGCUCCCGACAGGGCUCACGAUGCGCGGCGGGCAGGGCGCGGCGGAAGCUCGGGUGCUCCAGUUCACUAACUGCCGGAUUCUGCGCGGAGGGAAGCUGCUCAGGGAGGAUCUGUGGGUGCGCGGAGGCCGCAUCCUGGACCCGGAGAAGCUGUUCUUUGAGGAGCGGCGCGUGGCCGAUGAGCGGCGGGACUGCGGGGGCUGCAUCUUGGCGCCCGGUUUCAUCGACGUGCAGAUUAACGGUGGAUUUGGUGUUGACUUCUCCCAAGCCACGGAGGACGUAGGUUCGGGGGUUGCCCUGGUGGCCCGGAGGAUCCUGUCGCACGGCGUCACCUCCUUCUGCCCCACCCUGGUCACUUCCCCACCGGAGGUUUAUCACAAGGUUGUUCCUCAGAUCCCUGUGAAGAGUGGUGGUCCCCAUGGGGCAGGGGUCCUCGGGCUGCACCUGGAGGGCCCCUUCAUCAGCCGGGAGAAGCGGGGCGCACACCCCGAGGCCCACCUCCGCUCCUUCGAGGCCAAUGCCUUCCAGGACUUGUUGGCCACCUACGGGCCCCUGGACAAUGUCCGCAUCGUGACGCUGGCCCCGGAGCUGGGCCAUAGCCACGAGGUGAUCCGCGAGCUGACGACCCGUGGCAUCUGCGUGUCCCUAGGGCACUCAGUGGCUGACCUGCGGGCGGCAGAGGAUGCUGUGUGGAGCGGAGCCACCUUCAUCACCCACCUCUUCAACGCCAUGCUGCCUUUCCACCACCGCGACCCAGGCAUCGUGGGGCUCCUGACCAGUGACCGGCUGCCCGCGGGCCGCUGCAUCUUCUACGGAAUGAUUGCGGAUGGCACGCACACCAACCCCGCCGCCCUGCGGAUCGCCCACCGCGCCCACCCCCAGGGGCUGGUGCUGGUCACUGAUGCCAUCCCUGCCUUGGGCCUGGGCAACGGCCGGCACACGCUGGGACAGCAGGAAGUGGAAGUGGACGGUCUGACGGCCUAUGUGGCAGAGCCUGCCCUCUCUGCUCUCAAGGCACCAAGACGCUGAGCGGCAGCAUAGCCCCAAUGGACGUCUGUGUCCGGCACUUCCUGCAGGCCACAGGCUGCAGCGUGGAGUCGGCCCUGGAGGCUGCAUCCCUGCACCCCGCCCAGUUGCUGGGGCUGGAGAAGAGUAAGGGGACCCUGGACUUUGGUGCUGACGCAGACUUCGUGGUGCUCGAUGACUCCCUUCACGUCCAGGCCACCUACAUCUCGGGUGAGCUUGUGUGGCAGGCGGAGGCAGCCAGGCAGUGACAAGGACUUCGGCUGAGAGGACGCCCAGCCGCAGCUGGAUGCCAUCAGGGCUGAGUGGUUGGGGAGCUGGUCUCCAGGGAGUGAGUCGGGAGCCCUGCUGGAAUGACGCCCAGGGCCUUUGCUGCCGCCCUGGAGGCGGUGGCUGGGAUAAAUGUGCACCCAGCAGGA
Non-coding RNA from Macaca mulatta (Rhesus monkey), 1525 nucleotides. NCBI's taxonomy places the organism in Eukaryota, Metazoa, Chordata, Mammalia, Primates, Cercopithecidae. The record is from RefSeq and is a predicted model, not a curated record.